GAGGUGGCACCCAGAGGCUCAACUGCCAGGGUGGCAGGGCUGGAGCCAGAGCACACAGAGGGGCUCAGGAAAGCCAACGUGUGCACAGGCUCAGCUCUGCCGUCAGAUGGAAGAAGCCACCAAAAUUGCAAACUUUAAGCUAAAAUGGGCACAGAAGCUGCUCUCAGAGAACCCAAACCAUGAGCACCAAACGCUCCUGAGAGAGUCGGUUCCACUCAGGUCUCCACUGGGGGUUCACGUGCACCAGGACGCGGACCAGAACCCUCCAGGGGACAGAGCAGACCAGCAGCACGUGCAGAACCUCCCUCUGGCAGGAGGUGCAAUACUAUGCAGCUGUAAAAAAGAACUCUUAGCAUUUGCAGCAGCAUGGAGGAGCCUGGAGAGCAUUAUGCGAAGUGAAAUAAGCCAGUCAGAGAAGGGCAAGUAUUACACUAUCUCACUCAUAUGGGGACUCUAAUGAACAAAAUAAAUUGAUGAACAAAAUAGAUCCAGAGACACAGAAGCACAGA
This is a long non-coding RNA of Myotis daubentonii (Daubenton's bat), 509 nucleotides long. RefSeq lists it as uncharacterized. NCBI's taxonomy places the organism in Eukaryota, Metazoa, Chordata, Mammalia, Chiroptera, Vespertilionidae. The record is from RefSeq and is a predicted model, not a curated record.